Molecule: long non-coding RNA, 203 nt
Filed under: Mytilus galloprovincialis (Mediterranean mussel)
Lineage: Eukaryota; Metazoa; Mollusca; Bivalvia; Mytilida; Mytilidae
Source: RNAcentral
GGAUUGUGUCUGCGUGAAAAUGUGAUUCUAAAUUUCCUGAUCUAAUCUGAGUGUCUUUGCAUAAAGAACUGCUAAUGUAUCAUAACAUUUUGGCAUAAAAAAAUUGUUACAGAUUUCGUUAACAAAACAUUUGAUAGCUUUGAUCCAGUUUUUGAUAUGACAUAUAAUUGGUGGAUGAUGAAUGGAAAUUGAUUGUCUUAAAG